RNAcentral lists this ribosomal RNA (403 nucleotides) under Actinomycetes bacterium. RNAcentral describes it as "Actinobacteria bacterium partial 16S ribosomal RNA". It matches the Rfam family "Bacterial small subunit ribosomal RNA", at positions 355 to 776 of the family's 1533-position model. The record is from RNAcentral. Lineage: Bacteria; Bacillati; Actinomycetota; Actinomycetes.
UGGUGAAUAUUGCACAAUGGGGGAAACCCUGAUGCAGCGACGCCUCGUGAACGAAGAAGGUAUUCGUAUCGUAAAGUUCUGUCCUAUGGGAAGAUAAUGACAGUACCAUAGAAGAAAGCUCCGGCUAAAUACGUGCCAGCAGCCGCGGUAAUACGUAUGGAGCGAGCGUUGUCCGGAAUUAUUGGGCGUAAAGGGUACGCAGGCGGUUUAAUAAGUCGAAUGUUAAAGAUCGGGGCUCAACCCCGUAAAGCAUUGGAAACUGAUAAACUUGAGUAGUGGAGAGGAAAGUGGAAUUCCUAGUGUAGUGGUGAAAUACGUAGAUAUUAGGAGGAAUACCAGUAGCGAAGGCGACUUUCUGGACACAAACUGACGCUAAGGUACGAAAGCGUGGGGAGCAAACAGG